GAAACCGGAAAGAGACCCUUUCCCCGGGAAGGAGAGGGAAGUUGAGACGAAGGUCGGAUACCGAAUAGGUGGUAACGUGUGUCUCGUGGAGUAGGGGCAGUCUGGUCAGCCGGUGGGGCGAGUGACACUAGCGUCCUAGUGGGCAGGCUGGUGUACCAGGUUUCAAGGGAUGUGGCAGGGAGUGAGAGUAAGAAUGACAGGUCGGGGUACCUGUUGCUGGGUAAACGCCACCAUCGACCUGAGCCUCAUUCUUAGUUCACUGUGCUUCGUUUUCUCCACCUCUCUUGAACAGUGAGGUUAGUAGCUCACGGAGCUGUGGUGGGGAUAGAUGUGGAAGGGAGAAGUACGCAUUAAGACAAAGUGACGUUUAAGAAAACAUCUUCAGUUUUUACUUUGGCCGUGCCGAUGGGCCGGUACAAACUCAGGCAUCCUGAGUCUGUAACUCCUCCCUGAGGCAGUAAGCACCUGUUGCAUUAAUUUUAAACACGCAUAGAGUUGUUAGUUUUCACGUUUUCUUUUUGGUACCGGGGAUCGAACUUGGGUCCUUGCGCUUUCGAGGCAGGCGGCGGAACCACUGAGCUAAAUCCCCAGCCCUUUUUUUACGUUUUCUGAAUCUGCCAGCAAAUUCGUUUGAUAGGGUGGAACAAAUCCAUCUUGGUCACCUCUUUCGUUUCAGUUUAAGCUGAAGCAUAGAGAGGAGACAGGUGGAGAAUCACAUUUUGUCAAUUACAGCUGAGACUUAGAGCUCAAUUUCUUAAUUUCCCUCCCCUAAUAUUUUUCUCUAUACCGUACCCUGUGGAUUGCUAAACAUUUCUUCUUUUGCCAACAGGUAUUGGAGGGGUGAGAAGUGAAGAGGGUAGUGACGUACAUUUAGAAACAGGAUGAAUCCAUCAAAGGCAAAGUCAGUGUCAAGGGUUAGAACUGUGUCAGUUACCUACAUUGACACUGCAGGUGGAAAGUGUCACUCGUUGCUUUUGUCAUUUCCCAUUCAGUAGUAUGUGUGUAGUAACAAAAUGUGAAGGUGAAGUUUUAUUACUUGUUACAUAUCUUUACCCAGGAAGGCCUGGGGUCACUAAACAAGAUAUGUGUUUACUUUUGAAGCAUUAUAGCUGGCUACUUAACUGUGCUUUUAUUUACACUGUUUGCUAUAACAACUCACAGACAUUUUCCCAAAACUAUGUGAAUGAAAGAUCAUCUAUAAAAGGACUCGGAAGUUGCCCUCAAGUCCAGGCAAGAUGCUGCAGAGUGCACUGCAGCCGAGCCUCUGCUGCUAUAAUAAUGGCAUUCGAUGCCAGUGCACUCUAAGUGUAUUCUGCAUCACUGCUGUCAUCUUCAUGCUAUGAAAUGGAAAUGUAUUAUUACUGGAAAGUGGCAGGCUUGUGAAGAAAGUAAGGGAGCCUAAGAAGUCCAGGAAACAAACUGUACAUUAGCAAAUAUUGAAAAAGUAUUAGCAUCACAUGAGGAAAAUAUAACUGCUAAAGAAUUCAUUGAGUUAGAUAUUCUUUGUGAGGGAACCAUGAAUACCCAUAUAUAUAUUUUAUAUAUAUAUAUAUAUAUAUUAUAUAUAUAAAGAUUUCAAAGCUUUUGGUUUUAAGAUACCCUUAAAAAUCGAGGAUGCCAAAGAGUUUGUGGAUUAUUUAUAUUACUAUUUAUGAUAUUUGAAAAUAAAAGAUAAGAAAAGUUGAGAGCUGGAGCAGACUCAGUGGCAGAGCACUUGCCUGGCAUUCAUAAGGUCCUGGGUUAACCUCAGCAUUAAAUAAAAAAAAAAAGAAAAUGAAAUGAUCGCUUCUCGACCUUUUAGCUGAGAUCAAGUGUAAAAAAUAAAAGGAAAAGAAAAGAAAACCCAAUCAAAACAAACACUAGAGAAAUCUUUAAAAUACAAGCAUAUAUGACAGCUACUCUGUUGUUAGAGUGAUAAAUGUCCUGACAUAUUAUGUAGCCUCCAGUUAAACUCUGCUGUUCACUCAUGAAUGAGAGGGAAAAAGGCCAGAAAUAUUAUUAUGAAAAAUAGUUUGACCUCAAUAAUCCUUGAGACGCUUACAGAGGCCCCUAUAGGAAUCAUGUUUGAAGAACCACUUUAUGCAAAUGUUUCAGAAAGUUUCUAGAUAAUGUAGACAAAUGAUUGCUGAUGUGAUUGUGAUAUAAGCUGAAGUAUCACCUAAAAAUGCUGUAACAGCCACAGUUUUGUGUCUCCACAGACUAUAUAAUUCCAGACAGAACACAAACAGGUGUAUAUUUUGCGUUCCUUUUAUCCUUUUUUGUUUGUUUUUUGGUGAUGGUGAGGAUCUAGCCUUGCACAUGCUAGGGUAAGUACUCUUACCACUAAGCGACAUCCCCGGUCUCCAUUGCUUUUUUGGGGAAAGGGGGGGUAAUUAGAGAUUGAACCCAGGGCCUUCAUACUGAUUUUAAAGGCACUUGGCAUUUGAGAAGGGAUCACCUGUGAUCUUUAGAAGUCCCUGUUUGUUAUUACGUUUACAGGGUAUAAUUUCUGUUAUAAAAGUCUUAGAUUCUAAAUCUAGAGAGAAGCACAUAACUCCUGUUGUGUUGUAAAUGCCAAAUGGACAGUAAAGCUUACUCAGUGGCUGAGGGGCACCUUCCAUACUUGAGCCUCCAAGAAUUAUGAUCCCAAUUUAUGAUUUAGAACAUUUAAAAUACAUGUUGACCAUCUUAGAAAUAAUCCGAACUACCAUAAAUAUUAAAUAUGUCAAUUUUUUUUCAGUUAUGGGAAGAAGAUUCUAAACCACAGAUCUUUAGUGAACUCAGGUUCAACUCCCCUUCUCAUUCUUCCCAGAUUAGAAGUCACAACUGUGUGCAGUUAGUGAUGAGCCUGUGUCAGAUCCUUCAGGUGUAUUGGGACGGAAGGAAGGUUGAGAAUUCCUGGGCCAUAUUUUUAAUCUCUGCCUUUGUUCCCCCAAGUAUACAGAAAUUUGAAACUGCUUUGCUUCUUCCUAGUGAAGAGGGGUUUUCUUUUGACUUGGAAGCUAAUUUGAUGUCUUAUUUGUCUUUUCAGGUAUGUGAGCUCCUGGGAAGGAGAAAGUAGCUGUUCUCCUGUUUAAUUAUUCAGAUUGUGAAGGCACGGUCCCUGCCUUUGAUCUGCUUACAGUCAAAUGGAGCAGACACAAGUCAGUGGUUGCAGCAUACCACUUAAGGAUUCUAAAGUAGAUUUAUCAGCAGGUUGCAGGUGCAAGUGGCCUUGAGGUGUCUACAUCAGCCCUACCUGCAGAUUGGAGCCUCAUGUGGACAGAGAUGUUCAUUUCUUCACCUUCAGUACACAGUACAGCUCUUUGCAGGGCCACAGAUACAUUGGCAGCUUAUUAAAGUGAGACUAACUCAGCUUGGCUGGACCCCAAAAAGCCAAGAAGAAAGCAAUAGAUGCUCAGUACUCCCCAAUUUCAAGGUGAGAUGCUAGAACUUUUAGAGAUAAGUGCCCAAAACUGCAACCCAAAACCUACUUCUUUAUGGCAAAGUGCCAACACUGUAAUUAAACCUGAAUACUGAGGUUUUAGUUUAGAAAAAACAACCCAUACCUUCACAUCUCUCGUCUUAAAAGAAAAACACAAUAACAUGUGUGCCAUAGGUUCGCUACCACUGGGCUAGACUAUCCAAGAGACACUGGCAAAGGAAAUGGCCAAAACCAACUUGUAGUGCAACACCAGAGUCAAGUUGCAAAAGCCUGAGGUUGUGUCUGCCCAGAAAGCUCCCUCAAAGAAAGCAGGACAGCAACAGCUGGGUCGGAGGUGUGUGUUUCCCAGGUAUGACUGGAACCCACCAUAGGA
Non-coding RNA from Heterocephalus glaber (naked mole-rat), 3776 nucleotides. NCBI's taxonomy places the organism in Eukaryota, Metazoa, Chordata, Mammalia, Rodentia, Bathyergidae. The record is from RefSeq and is a predicted model, not a curated record.